GAUGAAGAAGGCAGCGAAAUGCGAUAAGUCAUGCGAAUUGCAGAAUUCCAGUGAGUCAUCGAAUCUUUGAACGCACAUUGCGCCCUUUGGUAUUCCGAAGGGCAUGCCUGUUCGCGCGUCAUUAUCACCCCUCAAGCCCUCGGCUUGGUGUUGGACGGUUUGGUGGAGGCCCCCUCGGGGGCUCCUGCCCCUCCCAAAGACAAUGACGGCGGCCUCGUUGGACCCCCGGUACACUGAGUUCUUCACGGGACACGUAUCGGACACAUGGGUUUACGGGACACGGUCUGCCUCCCCUCAGGGAGAAUCUUUCUAAGGUUGACCUCGGAUCAGGUAGGGAUACCCGCUGAACUUAAGCAUAUCAAUAAGCGGAGGA
This 373-nucleotide unclassified non-coding RNA is filed under the name soil metagenome. RNAcentral describes it as "partial contains 5.8S ribosomal RNA, internal transcribed spacer 2, and large subunit ribosomal RNA". The stretch from base 1 to 121 matches the Rfam family "5.8S ribosomal RNA", at positions 35 to 154 of the family's 154-position model. The record is from RNAcentral.